RNAcentral lists this ribosomal RNA (459 nucleotides) under uncultured bacterium. RNAcentral's name for it is "partial 16S ribosomal RNA". It matches the Rfam family "Bacterial small subunit ribosomal RNA", at positions 338 to 795 of the family's 1533-position model. The record is from RNAcentral.
CCUACGGGAGGCAGCAGUGAGGAAUAUUGGUCAAUGGGCGGAAGCCUGAACCAGCCAAGUAGCGUGCGGGAUGAAGGCCCUACGGGUCGUAAACCUCUUUUGCACGGGGAUAACACCCUCCACUUUUGGAGGUCUGCAGGUACCGUGCGAAUAAGGGCCGGCUAAUUCCGUGCCCGCAGCCGCGGUAAUAAGGAAGGCCCGAGCGUUAUCCGGAUUCAUUGGGCUUAAGGGGAGCGUAGGCGGGCGUUCAAGUCAGCGGUAAAAUCGCUCGGCUAAACCGCGCCCCGCAGUUGAAACUGGACGCGUUGAGUUCACAACAGGCAGGCGGAAUUCGUGGUGUAGCGGUGAAAUGCAUAGAUAUCACGAGGAACCCCGAUUGCGAAGGCAGCCUGCCGGGGUGCGACUGACGCUGAGGCUCGAAGGUGCGGGUAUCAAACAGGAUUAGAUACCCCAGUAGUC